RNAcentral lists this ribosomal RNA (425 nucleotides) under uncultured bacterium. RNAcentral's name for it is "partial 16S ribosomal RNA". It matches the Rfam family "Bacterial small subunit ribosomal RNA", at positions 354 to 796 of the family's 1533-position model. The record is from RNAcentral.
GUGGGGAAUCUUGCGCAAUGGGCGAAAGCCUGACGCAGCCAUGCCGCGUGGAUGAUGAAGGUCUUAGGAUUGUAAAAUCCUUUCACCGGUGAAGAUAAUGACUGUAGCCGGAGAAGAAGCCCCGGCUAACUUCGUGCCAGCAGCCGCGGUAAUACGAAGGGGGCUAGCGUUGCUCGGAUUUACUGGGCGUAAAGGGCGCGUAGGCGGACAUUUAAGUCGGGGGUGAAAUCCCGGGGCUCAACCUCGGAACUGCCUUUGAUACUGGGUGUCUUGAGUAUGAGAGAGGUGUGUGGAACUCCGAGUGUAGAGGUGAAAUUCGUAGAUAUUCGGAAGAACACCAGUGGCGAAGGCGACACACUGGCUCAUUACUGACGCUGAGGCGCGAAAGCGUGGGGAGCAAACAGGAUUAGAAACCCCAGUAGUCC